GAUGAACGCUGGCGGCGUGCUUAACACAUGCAAGUCGAACGAGGAUUACCGGUUGAAGUUUUCGGAUGGAAACUGGUGAUACCUAGUGGCGGACGGGUGAGUAACGCGUGGGAAACCUCGCCCCAUUCCGGGGGAUACCAGUUGGAAACGACUAUUAAUACCGCAUAAGCGCACACUGCCGCAUGGCAGAGUGUGAAAAACCACGGUGGAAUGGGAUGGUCCCGCGUCUGAUUAGCCAGUUGGCAGGGUAGCGGCCUACCAAAGCGACGAUCAGUAGCCGGCCUGAGAGGGCGACCGGCCACAUUGGGACUGAGACACGGCCCAAACUCC
RNAcentral lists this ribosomal RNA (330 nucleotides) under uncultured Lachnospiraceae bacterium. Its description in RNAcentral is "bacterial SSU rRNA". It matches the Rfam family "Bacterial small subunit ribosomal RNA", at positions 28 to 339 of the family's 1533-position model. The record is from RNAcentral. Lineage: Bacteria; Bacillati; Bacillota; Clostridia; Lachnospirales; Lachnospiraceae.